AUACCAGGGUCAAAAGUCAAAAAUGUGAGUCAUGCUUGCAUGAAUGAGCAUUUUUGACUUAAUGACCCGCACAAACAUGAGCAAGUAGCAAUUUCCUGCGAAGUCAGGAAAUUAGCGGAUUGCGAAUGGUUGUAGGAUUGCGAGAGUUGCAAGGCAACGAAGCAAUCCGUGGUAU
This 175-nucleotide small RNA is filed under the name bovine gut metagenome. RNAcentral's name for it is "Clostridiales-1 RNA". It matches the Rfam family "Clostridiales-1 RNA". The record is from RNAcentral.